This 119-nucleotide ribosomal RNA is filed under the name Capra hircus (goat). The record is from RNAcentral. RNAcentral also lists the same sequence under 1 other name. Lineage: Eukaryota; Metazoa; Chordata; Mammalia; Artiodactyla; Bovidae.
GUCUAUGGCCAUACCACCCUGAACGCGCCCGAUCUCGUCUGAUCUCGGAAGCUAAGCAGGGUCGGGCCCGGUUAGUACUUGGAUGGGAGACCGCCUGGGAAUACCGGGUGCUGUAGGCU